GACGAACGCUGGCGGCGCGCCUAACACAUGCAAGUCGAACGGAGCUGAGAGAAGCUUGCUUUUCUUAGCUUAGUGGCGAACGGGUGAGUAACGCGUGAGUAACCUGCCCUGGAGUGGGGGACAACAGUUGGAAACGACUGCUAAUACCGCAUAAGCCCACGAUCCGGCAUCGGAUUGAGGGAAAAGGAUUUAUUCGCUUCAGGAUGGACUCGCGUCCAAUUAGCUAGUUGGUGAGGUAACGGCCCACCAAGGCGACGAUUGGUAGCCGGACUGAGAGGUUGAACGGCCACAUUGGGACUGAGACACGGCCCAGACUCCUACGGGAGGCAGCAGUGGGGGAUAUUGCACAAUGGGGGAAACCCUGAUGCAGCGACGCCGCGUGGAGGAAGAAGGUUUUCGGACUGUAAACUCCUGUCGUGAGGGACGAUAAUGACGGUACCUAACAAGAAAGCACCGGCUAACUACGUG
Molecule: ribosomal RNA, 468 nt
Filed under: uncultured bacterium
Lineage: Bacteria
Description: partial 16S ribosomal RNA
Rfam family: Bacterial small subunit ribosomal RNA
Source: RNAcentral